AAUGAACGUUGGCGGCGUGGAUUAGGCAUGCAAGUCGAGCGAUAACCGUAGCAAUACGGCGAAAGCGGCGAAAGGGAGAGUAAUGCGUGGAUAACCUACCCCCGGGUCCGGGAUAGCUGCGGGAAACUGUAGGUAAUACCGGAUGACAUCCUCGGAUCAAAGGUGUGAUUCCGCCCGAGGAGGGGUCCACGUCCUAUUAGCUAGUUGGCGAGGUAACGGCUCACCAAGGCAAAGAUGGGUACGGGGCGUGAGAGCGUGCCCCCGCUCACUGGGACUGAGACACUGCCCAGACACCUACGGGUGGCUG
Molecule: ribosomal RNA, 307 nt
Filed under: uncultured Planctomycetota bacterium
Lineage: Bacteria; Pseudomonadati; Planctomycetota
Description: bacterial SSU rRNA
Rfam family: Bacterial small subunit ribosomal RNA
Source: RNAcentral